UAUCGUUUGCUACUUGAAGAGAGGUUAUCCUUUGUGUGUUUGCUUUACGCGAAAUGAAUAUGCAAGGGCAAGCUCUCUUCGAGGAGCAAA
This is a microRNA precursor of Peromyscus maniculatus bairdii (prairie deer mouse), 90 nucleotides long. Lineage: Eukaryota; Metazoa; Chordata; Mammalia; Rodentia; Cricetidae. The record is from Ensembl.